RNAcentral lists this ribosomal RNA (1449 nucleotides) under Trachelomonas ellipsoidalis. Its description in RNAcentral is "bacterial SSU rRNA". It matches the Rfam family "Bacterial small subunit ribosomal RNA". Lineage: Eukaryota; Euglenozoa; Euglenophyceae; Euglenales; Euglenaceae. The record is from RNAcentral.
GAGUUUGAUCCUUGCUCAGGAUGAAUGCUGGCGGCAUGCUUAACACAUGCAAGUUGAACGAUUAACAUCGUAGCGUACGGGUGAGUAAUAUGUGAGAAUCUACGUUUGGGUGAGGGAUAACUAGUGGAAACAUUUGAUAAUACCUCGUAAUGCAACGCCUAUUUUUAUUUAGGGUUGUGAAAGAUUUUUGUUGCCCAAACAUGAGCUUGCAUCUGAUUAGCUAGUUGGAAAGGUAAAGGCUUACCAAGGCUGUGAUCAGUAGUUGAUUUGAGAGGAUGAUCAACCACAUUGGAAUUGAGAUACGGAACAAACUUCUACGGAAGGCAGCAGUGAGGAAUAUUCCGCAAUGAACGAAAGUUUGACGGAGCAAUGCCGCGUGAAGGAUGACGGCCUUAGGGUCUUAAACUUCUUUUCUCUUAAAAGAAAAUAUGACGGUAUAAGAGGAAUAAACAUUGGCCAAUCUUUGUGCCAGCAGCCGCGGUAAUACAAAAAAUGUAAGCAUUAUUCGGAAUUAUUGGGCGUAAAAAGUGCGUAGGUGGUUUCUUAUGUUUAUUGUCAAAUAUUAAAGCUUAACUUUAUAAAGGCAUUAAAAACAAUUUAACUUGAGUAUGAUAGAGGCAGAGGGAAUUUCUAGUGUAGCGGUGAAAUGCGUAGAUAUUAGAAGGAACACCAUUGGCGAAAGCGCUCUGCUAGGUCAAUUACUGACACUGAGGUACGAAAUCCAGGGUAGCAAAUAGGAUUAGAUACCCUAGUAGUCCUGGAUGUAAACGAUGUAUACUAAAUGGUGUUUAUGCACUGUUAAAGCUAACGCGUUAAGUAUACUGCCUGGGGAGUACGCUUGCAAUAGUGAAACUCAAAGGAAUUGACGGGGGCCCGCACAAGCGGUGGAACAUGUGGUUUAAUUAGAUGGUACACUAAGAAUCUUACCAGGGAUUGACAUAAUAGAGAGUUUCUGAAAAGAAAUGUGCCUAACGGAAUCUAUUACAGGUGGUGCAUGGCUGUCGUCAGCUUGUGUGGUGACAUCUUGGGUUAAGUCCCGCAACUAGCGCAACCCCUUUUUUUAGUUAUAUUAUUUUUCUAAAAAUACUGCCGACGAUAAGUUGGAGGAAGGUAGGGAUGAAGUCAAGUCCUCACGCCCCUUAUGUCCUGGGCAACACGCGUGUUACAAUGCGCAAUACAAUAAGUUGCUAGUUUGUAAAAAUAAGCAAAUCUUCAAAAUUGCGCUUAGUUCGGAUUGUAGGCUGAAACUCGCCUACAUGAAGCUGGAAUCGCUAGUAAUCGCCAAUCAGCUAUAUGGCGGUGAAUACGUUCUCGGGCCUUGUACACACCGCCCGUCACACCAUGGAAGUUGGCUAUGCUUGAAGAUAUUUUCUGAACAAUUUGGUGGAUGUAUCUAAGGCCGAGUUUAUAAUUGUGGUGAAGUCGUAACAAGGUAGCCGUACUGGAAGG